Molecule: ribosomal RNA, 468 nt
Filed under: uncultured bacterium
Lineage: Bacteria
Description: partial 16S ribosomal RNA
Rfam family: Bacterial small subunit ribosomal RNA
Source: RNAcentral
GACGAACGCUGGCGGCGUGCUUAACACAUGCAAGUCGAACGGAAAGGCCCUGCUUUUGUGGGGUGCUCGAGUGGCGAACGGGUGAGUAACACGUGAGUAACCUGCCCUUGACUUUGGGAUAACUUCAGGAAACUGGGGCUAAUACCGGAUAGGAGCUCCUGCUGCAUGGUGGGGGUUGGAAAGUUUCGGCGGUUGGGGAUGGACUCGCGGCUUAUCAGCUUGUUGGUGGGGUAGUGGCUUACCAAGGCUUUGACGGGUAGCCGGCCUGAGAGGGUGACCGGCCACAUUGGGACUAAGAUACGGCCCAGACUCCUACGGGAGGCAGCAGUGGAGAAUAUUGCACAAUGGGCGGAAGCCUGAUGCAGCAACGCCGCGUGCGGGAUGACGGCCUUCGGGUUGUAAACCGCUUUCGCCUGUGACGAUGCGUGAGUGACGGUAAUGGGUAAAGAAGCACCGGCUAACUACGUG